AACAUAAGUUAUACAGAUUAAAAAAUAUGCUAAAAUACUAAUUAUAAGUUGAAAAUGAAAAAGAAAAAAAGAAAAUAGAAUAAUUACAAGAAAAUGAAAAAGAAAAAAAGAAAAUAGAAUAAUUACAAGAAAAUGAAAAUGAGACUGUAUGUAUUAAAGGAAACCAACUCAAUCAUUUGUUAGGAUUAUUGUGAGAUCCUCAUAAUCCUAACAAACAUCUCAAUCUCAUCAAAACAAUACGAAAACCCUAUCAUAAUCAUUGGUGACGCAAGAAUAAAAUUGAAAAUAAGAGGAAACACAGAUGAAUAGGGUGACAAUAUAAGAAAGGUAGAGAUGUGUAACCUUCAAAAGAUCAACCUAUAUCAGAAAUCACUUGAUUUGUACAUUUGAUAGAUAACAAUGAAAAUUACUCAUAAAAGAUAGAAGAAAAAAAAGAUGACAAUUUUUCAGCAGUACGUAUUUUUUUUACCCUUUGUAUUUUGUUUAUACAAUCAUAAAAUGAAUAUGAACCAGAGAUUUCUAUUAAAUAAUGUAAGCUAAAUAUUUUCAUUAAGUAAAUCCCCAAUUAUAUAAAUCAAUCAAACAUGUAAUGAGUAAAAAACAUUGACAUUAAAUAGUUUAGAAAGAUAUGUAUUGAACAUCAAAAUUAAUUAAAUAUAUACUUAUAUCCUUAAGAACAUAAAAAAUCCCCAAUUAUAUAAAUCAAUCAAACAUGUAAUGAGUAAAAAACAUUGACAUUAAAUAGUUUAGAAAGAUAUGUAUUGAACAUCAAAAUUAAUUAAAUAUAUACUUAUAUCCUUAAGAACAUAAAUUGUCAUCUUCUAUAUUCUGAUAAUUAAAAAAUUCACAUAAGUUAUACAGAUUAAAAAAUAUUCUAAAAUACUAAUUAUAAGUAAAAAAUGAAAAAGAAAAAAAAAAAUAGAAUAAUUACAAGAAAAUGACAAAGAAAAAAAGAAAAUAGAAUAAUAACAACAAAUUUAAAAUGCGACUGUAUUGUAUAAAGGAAACCAACUCAAUCAGUUUUCCAGUGUUACACUAGCACCACCUUUAUUAUUGUGAGAUCCUCAUAAUCCUAACAAGCAUCUCAUUCUUAUCAAAACAAUACGAAAAACCCUAUCAUAAUCAUUGGUGAUGCAAGAAUAAAAUUGAAAAUAAGAGGAAACACAAAUGAAUAGAGUGACAAAAUAAACAAGUUAGAGAUCUGUAACCUUCAAAAGAUCAACCUAUAUCAGAAAUCACUUGAUAUGUACAUUUGAUAGAUGAGAAAGAAAAUUACUCAUAAAAGAUGGAAAAAAAGGAAAAUAUGACAAUUUUUUAGCAUUACGUUUUUUUUACCCUUUGUAUUUGUUUUAUACAAUCAUAAAAUGAAUCAUUUUUCCAGUGUUACAUUAGCACCACCUGUAUUAUUGUGAGAUCCUCAUAAUCCUAACAAACAUCUCAAUAGGGUGACAAAACAAUAUGAAAACCCUAUCAUAAUCAUUGGUGACGCAAGAAUAAAAUUGAAAAUAAGAGGAAACACAGAUGAAUAGGGUGACAAAAUAAAAAAGGUAGAGAUGUGUAACCUUCAAAAGAUCAACCUAUAUCAGAAAUCACUUGAUCUGUACAUUUGAUAGAUAAGAAAGAAAAUUACUCAUAAAAGAUAGAAAAAAAAGGAAAAUAUGACAAUUUUUCAGCAGUACGUAUUUUUUUACCCUUUGUAUUUUGUUUAUACAAUCAUAAAGUGAUUAUGAACCAGAGAUUUCUAUUAAAUAUUGUAAGCUAAAUAUUUAUAUUAAGUAAAUCCUCAAUUAUAUAAAUCAAUCAAACAUUUAUUGAGUAACAAACCUUGACAUUAACUAGUUUAGAAAGAUAUGUAUUGAACAUCAAAAUUAAUUAAAUAUAUACUUAUAUCCUAAAGAACAUAAAAUGUCAUCUUCUAUAUUCUGAUAAUUAAACAAUUAACAUAAGUUAUAUAGAUUAAAAAAUAUGCUAAAAUACUAAUUAUAAGUAGAAAAUGAAAAAGAAAAAAAGAAAAAAGAAUAAUUACAAGAAAAUGAAAAAGAAAAAAUGAAAAUAGAAUAAUUACAAGAAAAUGAAAAUGUGACCGUAUGUUAUAAAGGAAACCAACUCAAUCAUUUUUCCAGUGUUACAUUAGCACCAUCUUUAUUAUUUUGAGAUCCUUAUAAUCCUAACAACCAUCUCAAUCUCAUCAAAAUAAUACGAAAACCCUAUCAUAAUCAUUGGUGACGCAAGAAUAAAAUUGAAAAUAAGAAGAAACACAGAUGAAUAGAGUGACAAAAUGAGAGAGUUAGAGAUGUGUAACCAUCAAAAGAUCAACCUAUAUCAGAAAUCACUUGAUCUGUACAUUUGAUAGAUAAGAAUGAAAAUUACUCAUAAAAGAUAGAAAAAAAAAGAUGACAUAUAUAUAAAUCAUAAAAUGAAUAUGAACCAGAGAUUUCUUUUAAAUAAAGUAAGCUAAAUAUUUUCAUUAAGUACAUCCCCAAUUAUAUAAAUCAAUCAAACAUGUAAUGAGUAAAAAACAUUGACAUUAAAUAAUUUAGAAAGAUAUGUAUUGAACAUGAAAAUUAAUUAAAUAUAUACUUGUAUGCUUAAGAACAUAAAAUGUCAUCUUCUAUAUUCUGAUAAUUAAACAAUUAACAUAAGUUAUACAGAUUAAAAAAUAUGCUAAAAUACUAAUUAUAAGUAGAAAAUGAGAAAGAAAAAAAGAAAAUAGAAUAAUAACAACAAAUUUAAAAUGAGAUCGUAUGGUAUAAGGGUAACCAAUUCAAUCAGUUUUCCAGUGUUACACUAGCACCACCUUUAUUAUUGUAAGAUCCUCAUAAUCCUAACAAACAUCUCAAUCUCAUCAAAACAAUACGAAAAACCCUAUCAUAAUCAUUGGUGAUGCAAGAAUAAAAUUUAAAAUAACAGGAAACACAAAUGAAUAGAGUGACCAAAUAAACAAGUUAGAGAUAUGUAACCUUCAAAAGAUAAACCUAUAUCAAAAAUUACUUGAUCUGUACAUUUGAUAGAUAAGAAAGAAAAUUACUCAUAAAAGAUAGAAAAAAAAAGGAAAAUAUGAAAAAAUUUCUGUUGUACGUUUUAUUUACCCUUUGUAUUUGUUUUAUACAAUCAUAAAGUGAUUAUAAAUCAGAGAUUUCUAUUAAAUAAUGUAAGCUAAAUAUUUUUAUUAAGUACAUCCUCAAUUAUAUAAAUCAAUCAAACAUGUAAUGAGUAACAAACUUUGAGAUUAAAUAGUUUAGAAAGAUAUGUAUUGAACAUCAAAAUUAAUUAAAUAUAUACUUGUAUCCUUAAGAACAUAAAAUGUCAUCUUCUAUAUUCUGAUAAUUAAAGAAUUAACAUAAGUUAUACAGAUUAAAAAAUAUGCUAAAAUAGUAAUUAUAAGUGGAAAAUGAAAAAGAAAAAAAGAAAAUAGAAUAAUUACAAGAAAAUGAAAAAGAAAAAAAGAAAAAAGAAUAAUUACAAGAAAAUGAAAAUGAGACGGUAUGUAAUAAAGGAAACCAACUCAAUCAUUUUUCCAGUGUUACAUUAGCCGUCCCUUUAUUAUUGUGAGAUCCUCAUAAUCAUAACAGACAUCUCAAUCUCAUCAAAACAAUAAGAAAAACUGUAUCAUAAUCAUUGGUGACGCAAGAAUAAAAUUGAAAUAAGAGGAAACACAAAUGAGUAGAGUGACAAAAUAAACAACUUAGAGAUGUGUAACCUUCGAAUGAUCAACCUAUUUCAGAUAUCACUUAAUCUGUACAUUUGAUAUAUAAGAAAGAAAAUUACUUAUAAAAGAUAGAAAAAAUGGAAAAUAUGACAAUUUUUCAGCAGUACGUAUUUUUUUACCCUUUGUAUUUUGUUUAUACAAUCAUAAAGUGAUUAUGAACCAGAGAUUUCUAUUAAAUAAUGUAAUCUAACUAUUUUUAUUAAGUAUAUGCUCAAUUUUAUAAAUCUAUCGAACAUGUAAAGAGUAACAAACAUUCAUUAAAUAGUUUAGAAACAUAAUUAUUGAACAUCAAAAUUAAUUAAAUAUAUACAUAUAUCCUUAAGAACAUAAAACGUCAUCUUCUAUAUUCUUAUAAUUAAACAAUUAACAUAAGUUAUAAAGAUAAACAAAAAUGCUAAUAUACUAAUUAUAAGUAGAAAUGAAAAAGAAAAAAAAGAAAAAAGAAUAAUUACAAGAAAAUGAAAAAGAAAAUAAGAAAAUAGAAUAAUUACAAGAAAAUGAAAAUAAGACCGUAUAAAGGAAACAUACUCAAACAUUUUUCCAGUGUUACACUAGCAUCAGCUUUGUUAUUGUGAGAUCCUCAUAAUCCUAACAAACAUCUCAAUCUCAUCAAAAAGUACGAAACACCCUAUCAUAAUCAUUGGUGACGCAAGAAUAAAAUUAAAAAUAAGAGGAAACACA
This 4390-nucleotide long non-coding RNA is filed under the name Lathyrus oleraceus (garden pea). RNAcentral describes it as "Pisum sativum (pea) long non-coding RNA (PSAT_LNC039898)". The record is from RNAcentral. Lineage: Eukaryota; Viridiplantae; Streptophyta; Magnoliopsida; Fabales; Fabaceae.